Non-coding RNA from Gymnothorax javanicus (giant moray), 76 nucleotides. Lineage: Eukaryota; Metazoa; Chordata; Actinopteri; Anguilliformes; Muraenidae. The record is from the annotation of a GenBank genome assembly.
GGGGAAUUAGCUCAAAUGGUAGAGCGCUUCGCUUAGCAUCACGAGAGGGUAGCGGGAUCGACGCCUGCAUUCUCCA